RNAcentral lists this ribosomal RNA (253 nucleotides) under uncultured bacterium. RNAcentral's name for it is "partial 16S ribosomal RNA". It matches the Rfam family "Bacterial small subunit ribosomal RNA", at positions 524 to 776 of the family's 1533-position model. The record is from RNAcentral.
UACGUAGGGUGCAAGCGUUGUCCGGAAUUAUUGGGCGUAAAGAGCUCGUAGGCGGUCUGUCGCGUCGGAUGUGAAAAUCCAGGGCUCAACCCUGGACCUGCAUUCGAUACGGGCAGACUAGAGUUCGGUAGGGGAGACUGGAAUUCCUGGUGUAGCGGUGAAAUGCGCAGAUAUCAGGAGGAACACCGGUGGCGAAGGCGGUUCUCUGGGCAUGUCCUGACGCUGAGGGGCGAAAGUGUGGGGAGCGAACAGG